AUACCUGCCAUCUGCCGUGAGGAGAACAUAUCCCAGCUGGCUGCUGAUCCCAGAAUGAAGAGAUACAUGGAGAGGGUAUGAACUUGACUCUCAGCCUGAAGCAGAGCCAUUCCAGCCAGCCCACAGACCCAGGAGCAAGCAAAAAAAAUGUUUUUUGGACUCCUCCUGGCCAGCGUUGGAAAGCUGUUGACUCUUCUUUCUCCAUGACUGGUGAGCUCUGAUGAUCGGAAGAAAGUAAUACAGAAAAAUACAUGUGCAUUCAACUGAGGAUGACUGGUUAACAAAGUUAUAGUUGGCUAAAGCACAUGAAAAUAAAGUAUGAAUCAGAAAUGGAGGCAGACUUGGGCAGAACACAGAUGUCUUCAUAAAUAUC
Non-coding RNA from Vicugna pacos (alpaca), 373 nucleotides. The record is from RefSeq and is a predicted model, not a curated record. NCBI's taxonomy places the organism in Eukaryota, Metazoa, Chordata, Mammalia, Artiodactyla, Camelidae.